Molecule: microRNA precursor, 60 nt
Filed under: Nautilus pompilius
Lineage: Eukaryota; Metazoa; Mollusca; Cephalopoda; Nautilida; Nautilidae
Description: Npo-Mir-1994-P2_pre stem-loop
Source: RNAcentral
AGGAAGAACUUGUUGUCUUCACAUGAUCUUGAAAUUUGUGAGACAGUGUGUCCUCCCUCA